AUCUAUCUAUCUAUCUAUCUAUCUAUCUAUAUUGCCAUACCACACUGUCUUGGUUGUAUCUUUAUACUUAAAUAUGGAAAUCAGUCUUAUUCACUGGCUAGGAUCUCUAACACAAUGUUGAACAAGAAUGUCAACAGCAAAUAUCCCUGACUCAUUCCCUAUCUUAGAGGUGCUUUGAAGUCUCGCUAAUCAGAGUCAUGGUUAUGAAUAUCAGAACUUGAUAUUGAAGAAGCAUAAAAGUGCUCAUCAAAGAACUAGGUGAUGGAAAUGGCAGGAAGCAGCAUAAGUGGAUGCUUCUGUGAGA
Cebus imitator (Panamanian white-faced capuchin) is the source of this 304-nucleotide long non-coding RNA. RefSeq lists it as uncharacterized. The transcript has 3 exons. Lineage: Eukaryota; Metazoa; Chordata; Mammalia; Primates; Cebidae. The record is from RefSeq and is a predicted model, not a curated record.